Molecule: ribosomal RNA, 620 nt
Filed under: Salmonella enterica
Lineage: Bacteria; Pseudomonadati; Pseudomonadota; Gammaproteobacteria; Enterobacterales; Enterobacteriaceae
Also listed under: 3 other names
Description: partial 23S ribosomal RNA
Rfam family: Bacterial large subunit ribosomal RNA
Source: RNAcentral
AGACCCGAAACCCGGUGAUCUAGCCAUGGGCAGGUUGAAGGUUGGGUAACACUAACUGGAGGACCGAACCGACUAAUGUUGAAAAAUUAGCGGAUGACCUGUGGCUGGGGGUGAAAGGCCAAUCAAACCGGGAGAUAGCUGGUUCUCCCCGAAAGCUAUUUAGGUAGCGCCUCGUGAAUUCAUCUCCGGGGGUAGAGCACUGUUUCGGCUAGGGGGCCAUCCCGGCUUACCAACCCGAUGCAAACUGCGAAUACCGGAGAAUGUUAUCACGGGAGACACACGGCGGGUGCUAACGUCCGUCGUGAAGAGGGAAACAACCCAGACCGCCAGCUAAGGUCCCAAAGUCAUGGUUAAGUGGGAAACGAUGUGGGAAGGCCCAGACAGCCAGGAUGUUGGCUUAGAAGCAGCCAUCAUUUAAAGAAAGCGUAAUAGCUCACUGGUCGAGUCGGCCUGCGCGGAAGAUGUAACGGGGCUAAACCAUGCACCGAAGCUGCGGCAGCGAACGUAUCACCCAAGACAACUUUACGGAGUUGACGAUUGACGGAGCGAAGCGACGUCAAAGCGUUCAUUAAAGUCGAGUUGGCUUAGGGAUACGUUCGUUGGGUAGGGGAGCGUUCUGU